CAGAGUAUAAGUAGUCCCAGCGCCGCUCCUUCGUCACGCUGCUUUGGUCGUCGUCUUCUAACUCGUUAACAGGUGAAACCUGACUUUUUGUUGUAUUUUAUAAGCUAUUGGACUUUUACAGUUACUAUUGUUAAGGAUUAGAAGCCAUAUCGGUUGUUUUAAGGCACGAAAUGAACGGUAGUUGUGUUUGUUAGUCAAACGUUUGAUGUCGCCGCGUCUUGUAUCAGUCGUUACAUUCGGCUAAAAAGGGCAUUUUGCAGACUGUUUUAUUGUAUUACCUUACUUUUGGUCGGUGUGACGCUGUCCAAAUUCCAUUUUAAUUGAAGUGGUUUGAGUGGAAUGUGGUCUGAGGACACAAAGACACCCACUGGAAACAUUCGUUUUCCAUCUAAUUAAACACAUCGGCAUUGUAUCCUAAUUUUCAUCAUAAAAACAUUGUUCCAGUGCAGUUGCAGGACAAACCUGUUGUAUUGUAACCUCUCCAUUGUUGCCACCACCAUGGUGAGGUCCAUAGAGCUCUCUGAGGCCUCCAGGAUGGAAAUUGUGGAAGCAUAUGCGUCCGGGAAAGGCUACAAAAAGAUCUCCAAACAAUUUGAAAUCAGCCCUUCUACUAUACGGAAAAUAAUUUACAAAUGGAAGACGAAUAAAACGACUGCCAACAAGCCCAGGUCUGGCCGGCCCAGCAAGUUCAGCACAUCAGCAGACUGCAAGAUGCUUAAGGAACUGUCCAAAAACCCUCAAAUGUCGUCACGGGACCUACAGGAAGCUCUGGCCUCGGUCGACGUCAAAGUGCACGCGUCCACCAUCAGGAAGAGGCUACACAAGUUUGAAUAUGCAUGGGAGGCAUGCCAGAAGGAAACUCUCGCUGUCAAAGAACAAGAACAAGGCGAGACCAAAGAACAUCCAGACCAACACCAAGGCGAGACCAAAGAACAUCCAGACCAAGAUGGUUCACAAGCUAGCAGUAGCUCGCACGCUGCCAGCAGCCCACAAACUACCAGUAGCUCGGCUGAGCAGACUAAAUAACUACGUACAUUAAGGACUUUGAAUUUUUGUUUUUACCGAAUUUUUACGAGAGAUCAGAAACCCUGAGAGCAUUUUCAGAAGUUAGCGUGUUUAGCAAAUGUUAGUCAUAAAGUACAACACUUGCUGCUCUUAUUUUUAUUUUUUUCUAGAAAAGUCGCUCUUGUGAAAAGUGUUGGAGAGCCCUGAUCUAGACCGAGGCCAGGACUUGUAUAGCAAUGUUGACUGAAAACAUUUUAAACAAUAAUGAUACAGUUUGCAGCAAUUAUUAGCUGGCCGUCAUUUGUUUAUCAAAAGGCUUGUCGGGCCUUUUUUAGUCAUGGUUCUGUAUUUUAGUAGCUUGUAUGCUACAAGCUCCAGUUUGUUAUUAAUGCACAAUGUGGAGUAUAUGGAUGAGUUAUUAUUGGAAGGAACAGACUUUGUUAGAAGAUGAUGGAUCCGGGAGGAGUGAGACAUGUUGAUGACACUUCAGCCCAACUGGAGAAGUCCAGAAUGUUGGUGUUGGGAGAGCCAACAGUUUUCUUGAACACCAGCAAGCAGACCCUGAAAAGGAUUAAAACCCCGGAGACAGCGAUGAGCGUCUCUUUACUACCUGGCUGCUGUCUAUUACAAUGAGUAUGCUGACUAUUAUCCAAAAAGAAAAUGCAGACCUAAACUGUGAGCAAUAAAUUAUUUUAAUUUUCACCCAAAAACAAGUUUUGAGCUUCAAAUUUCCAAAUGGCAACCAAAACUGUGCAAAAAAACAUUUAAAAGGGGAACUGCUCUUUUUCAUCAUUCACUAUCCCUCUGUUAGACAAUAACAGUCUUUUCUCUGCAUUCUAAAUGGUUAAAAACUGAUAGACUUAGACUUCCUUUUAUUGUAAUUCAAAUAUGAACUGGAUCGGUUUGCAGCCGAGUGUGAAGCGACUGGGAUGGGAAUCAGCACCUCAAAGUCCGAGUCCAUGGUUCUCGCCCGGAAAAGGGUGGAGUGCCAUCUCCGGGUUGGGGGGCAGAUCUUGCCCCAAGUGGAGGAGUUCAAGUACCUCGGAGUCUUGUUCACGAGUGA
Long non-coding RNA from Nerophis lumbriciformis (worm pipefish), 2068 nucleotides. RefSeq lists it as uncharacterized. The record is from RefSeq and is a predicted model, not a curated record. Lineage: Eukaryota; Metazoa; Chordata; Actinopteri; Syngnathiformes; Syngnathidae.